GUAUUGGGGAAUGGCUUGAGGAGAAAGGGCAUGGUGGGGAUACUGACCCUUUGUAUUAAGAGAAAUGUUUUAGUCAGGAUGGGUAGGCCCGGGUAGGCCUCAGUUAGCAUGAGAAUGACUAGGCAAGUGGAAAAGUACUGACCGAAAGUAACAGUAAGAUAAAAAUGCUGACCGCAGGUUACUGAAGGUCACAGAACAGCUUGUUGCAAGCAACUUUGUGGAAGUGUAUUCGGGAGGAUAAGGAACUAGCAUACCAGAGAAAUCGCAAGUAGGGCUGAGCUAAUUUGCUAUGCACUCCAAUCAUAUAAUGACUAGUAGGCAUAAUUAAUGAUAACAGUAUAUAAGCAAGCUGUGUCCGAUCAAUAAACGAAGUAUGCUUAUCACUCAUAUUGAGUCGACUGCAUUUCUUCCUCCGCACGCGGGUCCUGAACUCUGAAGCGUUUCCCAACAUCUGGCGCCCGAACAGGGACCCGUGCUGCGGAUUAGGUCGAGGAACGGCACCGGUUUGGCAGCGGCCGGUGGGCAAGAGCAACCGAACAUUGUACUGCGAUGUGUUGACUCCGACGCCUGGGCGAUUGAAGUUUUAAGCUCGCCGUAUACGGGCACACUGGAAGGCUGCAAAGAGGUUUUUUGAGCUCAAGAAGAGGUAUUUAUUUAUAUUAUGAGUACAGAGGUUAUGGAUUUCGAGGUGGCCCUAGAUAUUUUACAAAGCUUUUUAGAAAAGCGAGGGGUUAAUUAUAGUUGCGUUAAACAGCUAGCUGGUCUAGUAGCAACGGGGAAAAACUAAGGGGUGUUUUCAGGAUCCUGAUUUAUUGUUUGAUGAAGGAGAGUGGAGGAAAUUAGGGGACGUGUUGUGGGAUAUGGUCAUAGACGAGGAUAAAACAGCUAAGAAACUGAGGAAACCGUGGAGGGAAGUAAUUAAUAAUAUUAAGCGUCAUAAAGUGAAAAAGAAUUUAGCCGCGGUAGCUUCACAGAAACUCGGCAAAAUGGAGCCUUCCGCUCCGCCGAUGGAAACGGGCAUAUCUGCGUUAUCAGCGAAGAACCUUAAAAGACUAUUAACUUGGUGCAGAGGCAAUAGGUAUCCUGCUGACCUGUCAGGAGUUUUUCAAAUAGAGACUUGGAAAAAGAUGGGAACUGUGUUGUGGAAGGCAAUUAGUCACCGCGAAAGAUAUAUUCUCGGCCUUGUAACCAUCUGGAAACUGAUAAAUACUACAAUGAAGCAAUUAAAACCUGAAAAGACUGUUACGAGCAUUAGUGACUCAAAACUUGAACUUUGGGACAGUGUAGAGCAGAAAUUAUGGGAUAAAGUCAGCAAUGGACAUACAGAAGCUAAAUCAUUAGUAACUACAUGGAAGCUUGAACGGUCUGCUGCUGCCGGAAUUUUUGCAGCGUUGCAGCCUGAUAAGUAUCCUGAAAGUUGCGGUGAAAUUCACCCGGUUUGUGUCUGCGAUACCCUCCCUAUGCAAUCCCCUGCUGUGCUUUCGGCACCCCCGAUGGUUCAGCAGCUUGCUGCGGGGGGAGGAACAAUGCCAAACGGUUAGCCUCCUGUACCAUCAUCUAACCCUGGUGAGAACAGCAAGUUCAGAGGAUUGGUGUCAGACAACUUACUCAAAGAACCUGUGAAAGCUGAGAAUGUUAAAGUCGUAAACAAGUGUACUAUCAGUUCCUUUUACCAAUUUUGCCAAUCUGCUUUUCCUGCAUUUUAACCCUCUAACUUCCACGAGAGAACAGAAGAAGUCACUGAAAAUAGAACUGGACAACAGAACUGUGUGAGAUCAGUUAACAGCAAGUGAAUCUGACAGUCGGCAAUGUGGUCAUGAUAAUCGUGACGGGAAAAGGGGUGUUUCUGGGGACUCGGGGUAUAAAACUUAGAAGUUAAGGAAGCACUGGUUUUGGAAUUGGCAGUAGAGAAUGCUAAAGUUUGCUAUCAACAUGUUAUUUGUGAGUUUUACAGUGCAUAUUAUGUGCUGCUGUUUAUUGCCUCUCUGAAAGUCAAGCAGCUUGUCAGGAAUGUGAGUUAAUUGUUUUACUGGUUGUUGUUAGAACUGUUUCUUUGUGGUAUAAGUGCACCGUAAAACUUUGUCUCCACUUUUCCCACUCACGCUGCAAGCAGCCCUGUGCUUUUCCGUGGGGUCAGAAAUUACUGUUUUCAGUCGUGUUCAUAAAAAAUCGGUAUUGGGAGGUGUUUCAAAACAUAGGGAAGCACUUGGAAAUAUGAGGAAAGAAGAUCUUGUAAAAUAUUGUAAUUAAUGGUGGCUGCUGUAUAAGUUAAAUGAUUGGGAAAAGUGUCUGGGGAAUAGAAUCUUGAAGUAUAACACCUUAUUGCAAUUAAUGUUGUUUUUAGGGUGAGAAGAGUAAGACAAAAUAAAUCCCUACAAGAGAUCAUUAAAUCAUUUCAGACAGCUGAGAGAGAGUUAACUGAUAACACGCAGGUCACAGUAAACUUGCUGAAGUCGGCACAAUGUUUUCCUUAUUAGCCUGUUUUCUUUGUGGGUAUCUGUUUAAGCAUGUUGCAAUUUUGGUAGGUCUUUGUUAUAUGGUACAGUAAGUUCACAGACUGUUAAAUCAUGAGAAUCGGUUGACUCAAAAGGUGCGUUUUGUGAUAGUAUAAAAGAUCAUGAGUAAUUUAGCUCCCUACUGCAUGAACAUGAUGUUAAGAUUUUAUGUGUAGUAGCUGUUAUAUUUUUUUUUUCUAGUGUACUAGCUUUAUUCCAAUAUCCAGACUUGCGCAACUCUGUGACAGGCUGUCUCUCAUCUCGGUGCACUAAAUUUGGCCUUUUUGUAUGCACAUCAAGUGAAGAAUCAUGGUUUUAGAAUAACAGUUGUAGCGCACCAAAUGAGACACUAAUAAAAGGCCUUGCCCAGUCCAGCUUGCUGCGGGGGGGGGGGCGGAUGCCAAAUGGGGCUCCAGCGCGCACUGACCCAUUUUGUCAGGGAGACCCAGAGGUAUCUCCACCUGGCUGAGCAGUAAGCGGUUCAAGGUGCAAUGCAAAAAAUUGAGAUAUUGUCUUAAAUUGGUGUAAGUGUGAUUCAUCUGCUUAUUUGAACUUGGUAUAUGGUUUUCGUAUCUGAGCUCAGUAUUUUAGUUUGUAUAUUCAUAUUUGGUACCAAAAGAAUCUUGUUUGGGGAGAUAAUUACAAUGGGAACCGGUUCCACUGCUAAAAUUCCACCUUGCUCCCCCUUAGGAUGCAUCCUUACACAUUAAAGUAAUUGCUUAUAUUGCUAGAAAAGCAUUUAAGUUGUUAAAAUACUAUGAUAGAUGUGAACUUGGGGUAUUGUAUGAAGUUAUGAAGUUGUAUUUAAAGGUUGCUGGAAUGUGAACUGAUUUGGAUCUAGGACAAUAGAAUAAUGGAUUUAUGUUUAUUAUACUGGUUUAUACUGUUUUUUUUUGACAUCUCUAAAUUGUAAAAGGUAAAUGGAGCUAAAGAAUGUGACUAUUGCUGAGCUACUUGAAAUUGCAUAUAAAGUGUAUUAUGGCUGAAAUGAAAUGGGAAAACAAAGAGCAAAGUAUCCCAAGCCUGUGUGCAGCUCAUUGUAACUGAGAAGUUUCCCAGAGCCUCCUACUUCGUACCAGCCAGUAUGCCAGCUGCGUGACCUUGGUUAUAUCUACACUGCACAGAAAGAAAAAACAACUGGAAAAACGUGGCUGCCCGCUUUUAAAGCAGUGAAAGGGGGGGUUCUCUCUCCCCCCACUGCAGCGAUGUAAUACUGAAUGGAGCCGUUCGAGGGUGAAGUUUAAAGGCAUCCUGAGCAGACCCGUAGUUUUAAUUAAACUGGACAAUUAAACCAAAAAUUUGUCGAUGGACUUAUCCUAUGGUAAUUAAUUGUACGAGACUUCUUAGUAAAUUCACCAUGCUAGUUUUUGAGGACAUGGGAGACAACGAAAGAAAGGCCGUUUUUUGAGACAAACGGAAUGCCAAAUAUGGAACAAAGUUUUAAUACGUGAAUUCUUGUAUUUGCCUAAAAGUCCUAUACCUCUCUUGGGUCAGGAUUUGUUAAGUGAAUUGUAAGCUCAAAUAACGUUUUCUGAGAAUUCUGUUUAGUUGCAUAUCCUACAGGAAGGUGCUUGGAUGUUGCAGAUCUGCUUGUGCAAGUGAGAAAUCUUCAAGGAACUUAGCAGCCAAUGUUUUUGAUAAAGCAAAUACUACCCUGAGAAAUCUGAAACAGGACUUCAAUCCGAUCAGGAGCUGCAAUGGUUGCCAGCACGAAACGUGAAACCUGUGUUAUCUUCCUGACAAUGAUUGUUGCAGCUGCUGUGUUUUGGAUGCAUGCACAGACAAAGACUAACAUGUGGAUUACUUUAGCCAACAUGACUGACCACCUAUAUGCCUAACUACGAUGUCUCUGGAAAAAACGUUCUACACAUGCUUGGUUGGUGUCUUCCUUGAUGACUACAGCAGCAUCACACGACUGUUUCAAAUAGUGGUUGAUGCAGAGGCAUUGCAACGAACUGUAAUAAUACUAACACGGCACUUUGGAUUAAUUGCCACCUGGAAGCAGACAUCGAACCACAGGAACUGGAAUUGCUGGCAUCUAUGCCCAUGGAUGCUUGUAUUCAGCCGGUUUGUGAAAAGUGUCAGAACAGUAUACAAGAAAAUGAAUGGACAAACUACAAAAUGUUAAUGCUACCCUUGGUGACUACAAAAAUGAAACUCGACGGUGUAAUGCUUCACAGAAGAACGCAAGGGAUAUCAUUGACAGCGACCCUAAAACCUCCUGUAUGGUGUAUUCUUGAUCUGUGAAGAUAGAGCCUAACCAGGAAUUCCUUCUAACGCUGUUGGAGGACUGUGUAUUUUGGGACUAUUAACUCUCUUAACGUCCAAUGUAUCUAUGAUAAUAGAUCACAAAAGAGCAAGACGAGAAAAACAUUUUUAUGGAUUUACAGAAUAAGUCGAGAUCCAUCCAUGAGGAGAUUAAACAACUUAUGGAUCAUACACAAAAGAUCCAGAAAGAUGUGGGCUUCUUUGGGCUAGAGGGGCUGUCAAACUGGUUUGGGUUAGGAGGAUGGUUAAAAGGGCUUUUGCAAAGUAUGCUUAUGUUACUUAUUAUAAUAAUUGUAGUAGCAAUGUGCAUAAGUUGUACCUUUUCAUGUCUUCGAAAGCUUUUUGAACGCACCAUGAAUCAAGCAAUGCUCGCGCAAAAAGAAAAAGGGGGAAUUAUUGGGGAAUGGCUUGAGGAGAAAGGGCAUGGUGGGGAUACUGACCCUUUGUAUUAAGAGAAAUGUUUUAGUCAGGAUGGGUAGGCCCGGGUAGGCCUCAGUUAGCAUGAGAAUGACUAGGCAAGUGGAAAAGUACUGACCGAAAGUAACAGUAAGAUAAAAAUGCUGACCGCAGGUUACUGAAGGUCACAGAACAGCUUGUUGCAAGCAACUUUGUGGAAGUGUAUUCGGGAGGAUAAGGAACUAGCAUACCAGAGAAAUCGCAAGUAGGGCUGAGCUAAUUUGCUAUGCACUCCAAUCAUAUAAUGACUAGUAGGCAUAAUUAAUGAUAACAGUAUAUAAGCAAGCUGUGUCCGAUCAAUAAACGAAGUAUGCUUAUCACUCA
Columba livia (rock pigeon) is the source of this 5543-nucleotide long non-coding RNA. RefSeq lists it as uncharacterized. NCBI's taxonomy places the organism in Eukaryota, Metazoa, Chordata, Aves, Columbiformes, Columbidae. The transcript has 2 exons. The record is from RefSeq and is a predicted model, not a curated record.